RNAcentral lists this transfer RNA (72 nucleotides) under Ictidomys tridecemlineatus (thirteen-lined ground squirrel). RNAcentral's name for it is "Spermophilus tridecemlineatus (thirteen-lined ground squirrel) tRNA". It matches the Rfam family "tRNA". From Rfam's summary of the family: Transfer RNA (tRNA) molecules are approximately 80 nucleotides in length. Their secondary structure includes four short double-helical elements and three loops (D, anti-codon, and T loops). The record is from Rfam by way of RNAcentral. Lineage: Eukaryota; Metazoa; Chordata; Mammalia; Rodentia; Sciuridae.
GGGGGUGUGGCUCAGUGGUAGAGUGCUUGCCUCACACGUGCAUGGCCCUGAGUUCGAUCCUCGGCACCACAU